GACGAUGAAGCCUCGGUCGACGAUCUGGAAUAUAAACAAAUUCCUUGUUUGGGUUCAUGGGGAGAGUAUUAAUGGCUUAAUUUGGUCCUAAAUGGAUAGGCAAAUUAAUUUUUUUAAAAAUUUUUAGUCCAACAACAUCAACAACCAUCAGCAUCUUCAAUACUGUAUCAGCAUAACCACCACCAUCGUCAUCAUCUUAUAAUCAUUUAUAUCAUUAUAACCAUCCUCAUCGUCAUAAAGGAAUGGCGAUUUAGAAAAAGAAUAAUGAAUAAAUUGUUUUGAUACCUCACCAGGUGGCGUUUUAAAUAUAGACAAUAGUGUGUACGGUUGGAAGACUAUACGAAGGGGACUUUUCAAUUAAAGUAAUAACAAAUAUCAUAUGAUUUAUGUAGUGAUGUUUAGUACAGGAGAGCCACUUAAUCAUCAGUGGUGGACAAGGAAUACACAAAUAUCAGGAAAGACUGUUCGGACUCGAUCGUGAAUGGGCAACAGAGCUUACCAACUAAUAUUAUAUAUAGCCAUAAAUGUUGUCAAUAAUCAAGCUUCCUGCACAAAUUCUGGAUAUAAAAAUAAAUAAAAUAUUGUGUGAUUUUUUAAAAAAUAUUUUCCUCUGCAAAAAUCUAAAAAAUAAUGUUAGAAAUAUGUAUUAAUUCUUGUAGGCUUUAUGUUUAAUAUUGUAUUAUUAAUACUGAUGUUUAUCUUAAUAACGGAGAAAAUAAACCGUAAUAUUGUUGCAAAGAAUAUAGACAUAUGUAAGAUAUGUAAUAUAUACAAUUUUUUGGAUUAAAUUCAGGUCUUGAUUUUUCCCGAAUGUAUGUAAUAUAUAUAGGUCUAUAUAUACCGUAUAUAUAAGCUAAGUAUACAUAUAUCCCAACUUGAUUUCAAUGCUUGGAAAUAAAUAUCAA
Long non-coding RNA from Anneissia japonica, 905 nucleotides. RefSeq lists it as uncharacterized. The record is from RefSeq and is a predicted model, not a curated record. The transcript has 3 exons. NCBI's taxonomy places the organism in Eukaryota, Metazoa, Echinodermata, Crinoidea, Comatulida, Comatulidae.